Humulus lupulus (European hop) is the source of this 320-nucleotide long non-coding RNA. RefSeq lists it as uncharacterized. The record is from RefSeq and is a predicted model, not a curated record. Lineage: Eukaryota; Viridiplantae; Streptophyta; Magnoliopsida; Rosales; Cannabaceae. The transcript has 3 exons.
UUUAAGAAACUACAUAAUUUAACAAUGAAGUGUAGAUAAUCACUACAACAAAGUGAAGUAAUUGUCACUUAAGGUUCUUAUUUUAAUACUUUUCCAUAAAACUUGUGUAGAAUUUGGAAAUAUCUUGUCUUGAAAAGAAUUUGGAUAUGAGACUCGGUGUAGUCACCAAAGAAACUAAACCUGGUCUAACUGGUUGUUGAGAUCAUCUGCACUUUGGUCAGGAAAUUAUCUCCUAAUCCUAAUAGUGCUGCUAUAAUGGCCAUGGGUGUUAACAUCUUGGCAAAGAGAUUGAAAUGAUUGGGGUUCUUGAUUGAGUUGCU